GUCUAUGGCCAUACCACCCUGAACGUACCCAAUCUCGUCUGAUCUUGGAAGCUAAGCAUGGUCAGGCCUGGUUAAUACUUGGAUGAGAGACUGCUUGGGAAUACCUGGUGCUGUAGGCU
RNAcentral lists this ribosomal RNA (119 nucleotides) under Microcebus murinus (gray mouse lemur). The record is from RNAcentral. Lineage: Eukaryota; Metazoa; Chordata; Mammalia; Primates; Cheirogaleidae.